CAAUAGCGUAUAUUAAAGUUGUUGCAGUUAAAAAGCUCGUAGUUGGAUUUCGGGGCAGCCUGGCUGGUCCGCCGCAAGGCGAGUACUGGUCAGCCGCCCUUCCUCUCGAAAGCCCCGACUGCUCUUUAUUGCAGUGGUCGGGUAGUUCGGGACGUUUACUUUGAAAAAAUUAGAGUGUUCAAGGCAGGCCUACGCCUGAAUACAUUAGCAUGGAAUAAUGGAAGAGGACCUCGGUCCUAUUUUGUUGGUUUCCAGGACCGAAGUAAUGAUUAAGAGGGACAGUUGGGGGCAUUCGUAUUUAAUUGUCAGAGGUGAAAUUCUCGGAUUUAUGAAAGACGAACAACUGCGAAGGCAUUUGCCAAGGAUGUUUUCAUUAA
Molecule: ribosomal RNA, 377 nt
Filed under: uncultured eukaryote
Lineage: Eukaryota
Description: partial 18S ribosomal RNA
Rfam family: Eukaryotic small subunit ribosomal RNA
Source: RNAcentral